GUUAUAUGGUCAAGCGAAUAAGCGCACACGGUGGAUGCCUUGGCGGUCAGAGGCGAUGAAGGACGUGGCAGCCUGCGAAAAGUAUCGGGGAGCUGGCAACAAGCUUUGAUCCGGUAAUGUCCGAAUGGGGAAACCCACCCGCUUGCGGGUAUCCUGCAGUGAAUACAUAGCUGCUGGAAGCGAACCUGGUGAACUGAAAUAUCUAAGUAACCAGAGGAAAAGAAAUCAACCGAGAUUCCGUAAGUAGCGACGAGCGAACGCGGACUAGCCCUUAAGCUGAUUUGGUUCUAGGAAAACGCUCUGGAAAGAGCGGCCAUAGAAGGUGAUAGCCCUGUAUCUGAAAGGGCCAUUUCAGUGAAGACGAGUAGGGCGGGGCACGUGAAACCCUGUCUGAACAUGGGGGGACCAUCCUCCAAGGCUAAAUACUACUGACCGACCGAUAGUGAACCAGUACCGUGAGGGAAAGGCGAAAAGAACCCCGGAGAGGGGAGUGAAAUAGAACCUGAAACCGUGUGCGUACAAGCAGUAGGAGCUCCGCAAGGAGUGACUGCGUACCUUUUGUAUAAUGGGUCAGCGACUUACUGUUCGUGGCAAGCUUAACCGUAUAGGGGAGGCGAAGGGAAACCGAGUCUGAUAAGGGCGCAUAGUCGCGGGCAGUAGACCCGAAACCGGGUGAUCUAGUCAUGCCCAGGGUGAAGGUGCGGUAACACGCACUGGAGGCCCGAACCCACUCCCGUUGCAAAGGUAGGGGAUGAGGUGUGAUUAGGAGUGAAAAGCUAAUCGAACCCGGAGAUAGCUGGUUCUCCUCGAAAGCUAUUUAGGUAGCGCCUCAUAUGUAUCCUCUCGGGGGUAGAGCACUGUUAUGGCUAGGGGGUCAUCGCGACUUACCAAACCAUUGCAAACUCCGAAUACCGAGACGGACUGUAUGGGAGACACACGGCGGGUGCUAACGUCCGUCGUGAAAAGGGAAACAACCCAGACCCACAGCUAAGGUCCCAAAUUUUGUGCUAAGUGGAAAACCAUGUGGAAAGGCACAGACAGCCAGGAGGUUGGCUUAGAAGCAGCCACCCUUUAAAGAAAGCGUAAUAGCUCACUGGUCGAGUCGGUCUGCGGGGAAGAUUUAACGGGGCUAAGCACAGAACCGAAGCUUGGGGUGCAUACUUUGUAUGCGCGGUAGAGGAGCGUUCCGUAAGCCGUUGAAGGUGGAUUGAGAAGUCUGCUGGAGGUAUCGGAAGUGCGAAUGCUGACAUGAGUAACGAUAAUGCGGGUGAAAAACCCGCACGCCGAAAGCCCAAGGUUUCCUUGCGCAACGUUAAUCGGCGCAGGGUGAGUCGGCCCCUAAGGCGAGGACGAAAGUCGUAGUCGAUGGGAAGCAGGUUAAUAUUCCUGCACCUCGCGUAAGUGCGAUGGAGGGACGGAGAAGGUUAGGUGUACCAGGCGUUGGUUGUCCUGGGGAAAGGCGGUAGGUUUGGAUCUUUGGCAAAUCCGGGAUCCUCUAAGACCGAGCACCGAGACGAGCCUUUAUGGCGAAGUCACUGAUACCACGCUUCCAGGAAAAGCUCCUAAGCUUCAGCUUACGCAGACCGUACCGUAAACCGACACAGGUGGGUAGGAUGAGAAUUCUCAGGCGCUUGAGAGAACUCGGGUGAAGGAACUAGGCAACAUGGCACCGUAACUUCGGGAGAAGGUGCACCCUUUUUGGUGGCUCGUGCGAGCUAUAGCUGAAGAGGGUCGCAGUAACCAGGCCGCUGCGACUGUUUAUCAAAAACACAGCACUCUGCAAACACGAAAGUGGACGUAUAGGGUGUGACGCCUGCCCGGUGCUGGAAGGUUAAUUGAUGGGGUCAGCCGCAAGGCGAAGCUCUUGAUCGAAGCCCCAGUAAACGGCGGCCGUAACUAUAACGGUCCUAAGGUAGCGAAAUUCCUUGUCGGGUAAGUUCCGACCUGCACGAAUGGCGUAACGACAGCGGCGCUGUCUCCACCCGAGACUCAGUGAAAUUGAAAUCGCUGUGAAGAUGCAGCGUUCCCGUGGCAAGACGGAAAGACCCCGUGAACCUUUACUAUAGCUUUACACUGAACGUUGAGUUCGUCUGUGUAGGAUAGGUGGGAGGCUAUGAAACUGUGGCGCUAGCUGCAGCGGAGCCAUCCUUGAAAUACCACCCUGUCGUGCUUGACGUUCUAACCUGGGCCCAUUAUCUGGGUCGGGGACCGUGUAUGGUGGGUAGUUUGACUGGGGCGGUCUCCUCCUAAAGAGUAACGGAGGAGCUCGAAGGUACGCUCAGCGCGGUCGGACAUCGCGCACUGUGUGCAAAGGCAUAAGCGUGCUUGACUGCAAGAUCGACGGAUCAAGCAGGUAGGAAACUAGGACUUAGUGAUCCGGUGGUUCUGUAUGGAAGGGCCAUCGCUCAACGGAUAAAAGGUACUCCGGGGAUAACAGGCUGAUACCGCCCAAGAGUUCAUAUCGACGGCGGUGUUUGGCACCUCGAUGUCGGCUCAUCACAUCCUGGGGCUGUAGUCGGUCCCAAGGGUAUGGCUGUUCGCCAUUUAAAGUGGUACGCGAGCUGGGUUCAGAACGUCGUGAGACAGUUCGGUCCCUAUCUGCCAUGGGCGUUGGAGAUUUGAGAGGGGCUGCUCCUAGUACGAGAGGACCGGAGUGGACGAACCUCUGGUGUUCCGGUUGUCACGCCAGUGGCAUUGCCGGGUAGCUAUGUUCGGAAGCGAUAACCGCUGAAAGCAUCUAAGCGGGAAGCGCGCCUCAAGAUGAGAUCUCCCGGGGCACAAGCCCCCUGAAGGAACCAUGUAGACUACGUGGUUGAUAGGUCAGGUGUGUAAGUACAGCAAUGUAUUGAGCUAACUGAUACUAAUGAUCCGUGCGGCUUGACCAUAUAACCU
RNAcentral lists this ribosomal RNA (2892 nucleotides) under Stenotrophomonas maltophilia. RNAcentral's name for it is "23S ribosomal RNA". It matches the Rfam family "Bacterial large subunit ribosomal RNA". The record is from RNAcentral. Lineage: Bacteria; Pseudomonadati; Pseudomonadota; Gammaproteobacteria; Lysobacterales; Lysobacteraceae.